This is a long non-coding RNA of Neopsephotus bourkii (Bourke's parrot), 979 nucleotides long. RefSeq lists it as uncharacterized. Lineage: Eukaryota; Metazoa; Chordata; Aves; Psittaciformes; Psittacidae. The record is from RefSeq and is a predicted model, not a curated record. The transcript has 2 exons.
GACCAAUAAUUUAUCUAUGAUAUACACCAAUGGUUACUAAAAAUAUAAUUAUAUGUAAUCAGCCAUGCAUGCCCAGUGGUCAGCUUUCCACAGUGGUCAAUGAAUCUACUUUAGUUUCCCUGUAAGAGAUUCUGUCUUAGCUUGUACUGGGUAAGCAUGUGCUCUUCAUAUUGCAGCAGCUGCCUGGGAUGCAGGGCAUCAUCUUAAACAUACUGCAGUCCAGAAGAACAGCUGACAAGUUCCUCAGCACUGCAUGCAGCAUUGGCUUUGCCCUUUGCCAGAGGAUCUGAACCAUCCUGUGACUCCCUUGUCAGUCCUGCAUGUUCUUCAGGGCCCCAGCUCCCCUAACUUGUAAGUGCCAACACUCUGAUUGCCCAGCAGUGUUCUACAGAAGUGAUAUUACUGAUAUUCUGAGUGUACAUGAGUGAGAGAGUUUGUGGUUCCAGCUCUCUUACCUCUGUCUCUUUCAUCCACAUGAAAUUGCCUGCAGUACUGUAAUAUGUAUUUAAGUGCUGGUUGCCUCAGCACCGAGAACUGUACCUGUCAUUUUCCAUACUUCAUUGUCAGCUCCUCAUAAAAUAUCGUGUUUGCUCCUUUUCUUUGUGUGAGCGAAGUGAUAUUGCACUGAAGUUACUGUCUUGCAUUGUAAAGCUGCAGUCACAUCUAUCUUGGGAACAUGCCUUCAUUAUUUACACAAUGAAAAGAAAGGGAUUUUGGUUUCUCAAAUCUCCUGAUUCAUGCCCUGCCUAAUAAGGUUCUUGUUUGCCUAUCAUUCCUCUGGUUUAUGUGAUGCUGAAAUUGCAAUGAUACGAGGAGCAAAAUGAGAGCAGCUAGUGAAACAGCUUAAAUUCAGGAUAAAACAUCAACAGGCACUUACAUUUAGUUUGUUUUCGAGGGACAGAGUUCAGGACCUACAAAAUAGUAUCACCUAGUGUGUGGACAGAAAUGAAAUUGAAGAUACACACACCUGACAUCUGAG